Tigriopus californicus is the source of this 521-nucleotide long non-coding RNA. RefSeq lists it as uncharacterized. The record is from RefSeq and is a predicted model, not a curated record. The transcript has 3 exons. NCBI's taxonomy places the organism in Eukaryota, Metazoa, Arthropoda, Copepoda, Harpacticoida, Harpacticidae.
UUUUAGUUCUGCUUCCAUCCUCCGACCUCUCACAACUAAUGGAAGGACAUGGCCAUUGCCUCGAAUAGGAUUUUCUUUUUAGGUCAUAGUCUCAGUGUAUUCAUUUGGUGGCCUUGACCAAAACCAUGGAACCAUUUGUCGCAGUGCAUACCGUCCCAUCACUAACACACAACUCUACAUUCAUCAUGGUCUGCGAGAAGCACGGCAUGGGCUAGAUUAACUUCUACGAGAAAAUAAUCCAUCUAAAAAGAAAAGAGACUCAUCGCACGGACAAUCUUGAAUUAAGGAAAGAUACAUUGUCACAAUUUACCAUGUCGCCUUGUCCAAAUUGUAUUCCUGCAUCACGAAAUGAACAAAGAUACAGAAUUGGUUAGAAAUAGUCCCACAAUUUGACAGGCACAUGAUGAAUAUUUUUGACCAAACUAAGAUAUCUGAAAGAUUGUCCAACAUAAGAAUCCCGUCUAAUGCUACCAGAGCUGUCGAAUACAGGACCAAAUAUAGCACUCCCCAAAACAUAAAUU